AAAAAAAUAAAAUAAAAUAAAAAACCGUCUAAGAGGGAGAGCGUCUGAAUCCAAAAUUAUAGAGCAACAAGAGAUCUAACAAAAGAAAUUGCAUUUUUAGGUUACGGCUGCCACUUCAAGCGGUGAGAUGAAGCAAAAUGUGUGAAGUGAAAAUAUCAAAUCAGUAACAGUGAAAUCGAAGAAGAAAUUGGCACAACGCUCAAAAUCUAAGGUAGCAGAGGAGAAAUAAAAGGGUUUGAAAACAUACCUUAGCGAUUUUGAGUAUCAGAUCUGGAGAGCGGAAGCCA
This 287-nucleotide unclassified non-coding RNA is filed under the name Hevea brasiliensis (rubber tree). The record is from RNAcentral. Lineage: Eukaryota; Viridiplantae; Streptophyta; Magnoliopsida; Malpighiales; Euphorbiaceae.